RNAcentral lists this unclassified non-coding RNA (1336 nucleotides) under Octopus sinensis (East Asian common octopus). Its description in RNAcentral is "aquaporin-11, transcript variant X1". The record is from RNAcentral. Lineage: Eukaryota; Metazoa; Mollusca; Cephalopoda; Octopoda; Octopodidae.
GGAGGUGGUGGUAGUGUUAGUGUGUGUGUGUGUAUUCCUGGGGUGGAGGAAGAGAAAGGAGAAGAUAAAAUCCGCUCCAUUCAAAUGUUAUCAAAGUGCGAGAGAGAGAGAGAGAGAGAGAGAACAGCGAAUUCAGUCACAUAGUAAAACGACUAUAAAACCCGACCCGACGACAUAAGUCGGGUGAAAUAGUCUUUAAUAAUGCAGCCACCACGAUUCCAGCUGAUUAAGGAACGACCAAAUGCUUAUUACACAUGACAGCAUCACUCUUGGUAACUGAUGGAAAAUUCUUAGAUUGUUCCAAAACUUCUCUAUGCUACAAUGGAAGUACCAAGUUCUUGGAUAGAUACUUGGAACAAUCCAAGAAUCUUUCCUUUCAUCAUACCAUUCCUACAGUGCCUGAUCUACUACGCCCUCGUCUUGCUAGUCCACGUUGGCAUAUUUAAACUCAAUUCCAUAUUCACUCCCAUCUGGCUGCGACCAAUUCUCUCAGAUUUCUUCUGCACCAUUACGUCAUGUACAAUUUCGUUUCAACAUGGAAUACUACGGUUCUAUUAUGGCAACACCACCUAUGUCCUCAUGUCAGGAUUCAUGGCUUUUCUCUUCAGGAAUAUUUUCAAAGACUCAGCACCUUCGGUUCCAGCAAAUGUACUGAAAUACAUGAAAGAGGUCAUUUCUUUCAGUGAUUUACUUCUCAGGGUCUUCACACAGAUCUUUGCCAUUCCAGCCAUUGCACUUGUCGUUCACAUGAUCUGGCUUUUAGAAAUCAUGCCAGAGCACACACAGCAACUGUCUCAAAGAACUUGUGCCAGUGACCUUAAUGUUGCGGUCGCCAUGGGGUUUCUCAUUGAAGGAGGGUCCAUUGCGCUUGAGACUUGGUUAAGCCAAAGUCGAAUCACCAUUUAUGAUUCUGUAGAUUCGUGUCUAAAGCUUUUUACUGGACCAAUAAUGGUCGUUUUAGGUAUUCACCAUACUGGAAUGUAUAUGAACCCAACACUAGCAUCGGUGAUGAAGUUUGGAUGUAAAGGCACCACCCCUUGGCAGCAUGUGUUGGUCUAUUGGUUGGCACCGAUAUUGGGCUGUAUUCUUGGAGUGAAAAUAUUUAACUAUCACCAGAAGAGGCUGGCUUCAUCCACUGUUGAUGUUUCUUGGACAGAUUCAAUGAGAAAUGAGAAUGGAGACAAGUUUAAAAGAUUCCCAAGACGGAAACUUAAAGGAAGAAGCACAACAAGGAAACGAUAACUGCUUCGACAUGCGUGUCACCUUACGUGUUUGGAUAUUUAGUCUCAGUCUGCCAGUCUGUCUGUUUGUCUGCAUGUGUGUGUGUGUGUGUGUG